This 755-nucleotide ribosomal RNA is filed under the name uncultured Bacteroidales bacterium. RNAcentral describes it as "bacterial SSU rRNA". It matches the Rfam family "Bacterial small subunit ribosomal RNA", at positions 28 to 772 of the family's 1533-position model. Lineage: Bacteria; Pseudomonadati; Bacteroidota; Bacteroidia; Bacteroidales. The record is from RNAcentral.
GAUGAACGCUAGCUACAGGCUUAACACAUGCAAGUCGAGGGGCAGCAUGGUCUUAGCUUGCUAAGGCCGAUGGCGACCGGCGCACGGGUGAGUAACGCGUAUCCAACCUGCCUUACACUCUUGGACAGCCUUCUGAAAGGGAGAUUAAUACAAGAUGUUAUCAUGAGUAAGCAUUUUCGCAUGAUUAAAGGUUUACCGGUGUAAGGUGGGGAUGCGUUCCAUUAGAUAGUAGGCGGGGUAACGGCCCACCUAGUCUUCGAUGGAUAGGGGUUCUGAGAGGAAGGUCCCCCACAUUGGAACUGAGACACGGUCCAAACUCCUACGGGAGGCAGCAGUGAGGAAUAUUGGUCAAUGGACGAGAGUCUGAACCAGCCAAGUAGCGUGAAGGAUGAAGGUUCUAUGGAUUGUAAACUUCUUUUAUACGGGAAUAAACGAAUCCACGUGUGGAUUUUUGCAUGUACCGUAUGAAUAAGGAUCGGCUAACUCCGUGCCAGCAGCCGCGGUAAUACGGAGGAUCCGAGCGUUAUCCGGAUUUAUUGGGUUUAAAGGGAGCGUAGAUGGGUUGUUAAGUCAGUUGUGAAAGUUUGCGGCUCAACCGUAAAAUUGCAAUUGAUACUGGCAGUCUUGAGUACAGUUGAGGUAGGCGGAAUUCGUGGUGUAGCGGUGAAAUGCUUAGAUAUCACGAAGAACUCCGAUUGCGAAGGCAGCUUACUAACCUGUAACUGACAUUGAUGCUCGAAAGUGUGGGUAUCAAA